GACGAACGCUGGCGGCGUGCUUAACACAUGCAAGUCGAACGGAAAGGCCCUGCUUUUGUGGGGUGCUCGAGUGGCGAACGGGUGAGUAACACGUGAGUAACCUGCCCUUGACUUUGGGAUAGCUUCAGGAAACUGGGGCUAAUACCGGAUAGGAGCUCCUGCUGCAUGGUGGGGGUUGGAAAGUUUCGGCGGUUGGGGAUGGACUCGCGGCUUAUCAGCUUGUUGGUGGGGUAGUGGCUUACCAAGGCUUUGACGGGUAGCCGGCCUGAGAGGGUGACCGGCCACAUUGGGACUGAGAUACGGCCCAGACUCCUACGGGAGGCAGCAGUGGAGAAUAUUGCACAAUGGGCGGAAGCCUGAUGCAGCAACGCCGCGUGCGGGAUGAUGGCCUUCGGGUUGUAAACCGCUUUCGCCUGUGACGAAGCGUGAGUGACGGUAAUGAGUAAAGAAGCACCGGCUAACUACGUG
This 468-nucleotide ribosomal RNA is filed under the name uncultured bacterium. Its description in RNAcentral is "partial 16S ribosomal RNA". It matches the Rfam family "Bacterial small subunit ribosomal RNA", at positions 28 to 507 of the family's 1533-position model. The record is from RNAcentral.